AGAGCUUCUCCUUCGGGAGCAGAGUGACAGGUGGUGCAUGGUUGUCGUCAGCUCGUGUCGUGAGAUGUUGGGUUAAGUCCCGCAACGAGCGCAACCCUUGAUCUUAGUUGCCAUCAUUAAGUUGGGCACUCUAAGGUGACUGCCGGUGACAAACCGGAGGAAGGUGGGGAUGACGUCAAAUCAUCAUGCCCCUUAUGACCUGGGCAACACACGUGCUACAAUGGACGGUACAAAGAGCUGCAAGACCGCGAGGUGGAGCUAAUCUCAUAAAACCGUUCUCAGUUCGGAUUGUAGGCUGCAACUCGCCUACAUGAAGCUGGAAUCGCUAGUAAUCGCGGAUCAGCAUGCCGCGGUGAAUACGUUCCCGGGCCUUGUACACACCG
This 383-nucleotide ribosomal RNA is filed under the name uncultured Bacillus sp. Its description in RNAcentral is "bacterial SSU rRNA". It matches the Rfam family "Bacterial small subunit ribosomal RNA", at positions 1008 to 1392 of the family's 1533-position model. Lineage: Bacteria; Bacillati; Bacillota; Bacilli; Caryophanales; Bacillaceae. The record is from RNAcentral.